This 369-nucleotide non-coding RNA is filed under the name Saccharothrix sp. ST-888. Its description in RNAcentral is "Bacterial small subunit ribosomal RNA". It matches the Rfam family "Bacterial small subunit ribosomal RNA", at positions 1 to 374 of the family's 1533-position model. The record is from Rfam by way of RNAcentral. Lineage: Bacteria; Bacillati; Actinomycetota; Actinomycetes; Pseudonocardiales; Pseudonocardiaceae.
UUCACGGAGAGUUUGAUCCUGGCUCAGGACGAACGCUGGCGGCGUGCUUAACACAUGCAAGUCGAACGGUGAAGCCCUUCGGGGUGGAUCAGUGGCGAACGGGUGAGUAACACGUGGGAAAUCUGCCCUGCACUCUGGGACAAGCCUUGGAAACGAGGUCUAAUACCGGAUAUGACCUUCCUCUGCAUGGGGGUUGGUGGAAAGCUCCGGCGGUGCAGGAUGAUCCCGCGGCCUAUCAGCUUGUUGGUGGGGUAAUGGCCUACCAAGGCGACGACGGGUAGCCGGCCUGAGAGGGCGACCGGCCACACUGGGACUGAGACACGGCCCAGACUCCUACGGGAGGCAGCAGUGGGGAAUAUUGCACAAUGG